This 253-nucleotide ribosomal RNA is filed under the name uncultured bacterium. RNAcentral's name for it is "partial 16S ribosomal RNA". It matches the Rfam family "Bacterial small subunit ribosomal RNA", at positions 524 to 776 of the family's 1533-position model. The record is from RNAcentral.
UACGUAGGGUCCGAGCGUUGUCCGGAAUUACUGGGCGUAAAGAGCUCGUAGGUGGUUUGUCGCGUUGUUCGUGAAAACUCACAGCUUAACUGUGGGCGUGCGGGCGAUACGGGCAGACUUGAGUACUGCAGGGGAGACUGGAAUUCCUGGUGUAGCGGUGGAAUGCGCAGAUAUCAGGAGGAACACCGGUGGCGAAGGCGGGUCUCUGGGCAGUAACUGACGCUGAGGCACGAAAGCCAGGGGAGCAAACGGG